UAACAAGGAUUCCCCUAGUAACGGCGAGUGAAGCGGGAAGAGCUCAAAUUUAAAAUCUGGCCGGGUUACCGGUCCGAGUUGUAGUUUAAAGAAGUGUUUUCGGCGGCAACCUGGGUACAAGUCCUUUGGAACAGGGCAUCAUAGAGGGUGAGAAUCCCGUCCAUGACUCAGUGGAUGCUGCUAUGUGAUACACUUUCAAAGAGUCGAGUUGUUUGGGAUUGCAGCUCAAAAUGGGUGGUAAAUUUCAUCUAAAGCUAAAUACAGGCGAGAGACCGAUAGCGAACAAGUACCGUGAGGGAAAGAUGAAAAGAACUUUGAAAAGAGAGUUAAACAGUGCGUGAAAUUGUUGAAAGGGAAACGUUUGGCACCAGUCAUGCGUUCAGGAAAUCAGUCUAUCGAGGUGGGGAGCUGCAGAGGUUUGGACCGCAAGGCCAGCUUUUGUUGCAUUUCUGUCUGGAUGGAUGCACUUUUCUGUAUGCAGGUCAACAUCAGUUUUGUUCGCCGGACAAAACCUCAAGAGAAUGUGGCAGCUUUGGCUGUGUUAUAGCUCUGGGGCGAUACGGUGGGUGAGACUGAGGCUUUCAGUGUGUGCUUUCGGGCAAGGCUGACCGGGUGCUGCGGGCCAGUACGAGGUACAAUACAUGUAUUUUGCUUCGUGUCUGGUUUGCACUCGCUCGAAUCGGCUCUUCCACGCUUAGGAUGUUGACAUAAUGGU
RNAcentral lists this ribosomal RNA (715 nucleotides) under Actinomortierella wolfii. RNAcentral's name for it is "LSU rRNA". It matches the Rfam family "Eukaryotic large subunit ribosomal RNA", at positions 66 to 638 of the family's 3401-position model. The record is from RNAcentral. Lineage: Eukaryota; Fungi; Mortierellomycota; Mortierellomycetes; Mortierellales; Mortierellaceae.